UGGGGAAUAUUGCACAAUGGAGGAAACUCUGAUGCAGCGACGCCGCGUGGACGAAGAAGGCUUUCGAGUCGUAAAGUUCUUUUAUAUGGGAAGAUAAUGACGGUACCAUAAGAAAAAGCCCCGGCUAACUACGUGCCAGCAGCCGCGGUAAUACGUAGGGGGCUAGCGUUGUCCGGAAUCACUGGGCGUAAAGGGUUCGCAGGCGGAAAUGCAAGUCAGGUGUAAAAGGCAGUAGCUUAACUACUGUAAGCAUUUGAAACUGCAUAUCUUGAGAAGAGUAGAGGUAAGUGGAAUUUUUAGUGUAGCGGUGAAAUGCGUAGAUAUUAAAAAGAAUACCGGUGGCGAAGGCGACUUACUGGGCUCAUUCUGACGCUGAGGAACGAAAGCGUGGGUAGCAAACAGG
Molecule: ribosomal RNA, 403 nt
Filed under: Fusobacteriota bacterium
Lineage: Bacteria; Fusobacteriati; Fusobacteriota
Description: Fusobacteria bacterium partial 16S ribosomal RNA
Rfam family: Bacterial small subunit ribosomal RNA
Source: RNAcentral